GCUGUUUUGGUCAAUAAAAAUCGAUGGUUUGUCAUCGGGCGUCACCAGACCUUCACGACUUGAACCGCUUCACACGCGAUAGGUCACAAGUUCAAAUCUUGUAGACGGCACCA
This 113-nucleotide transfer RNA is filed under the name bacterium. RNAcentral's name for it is "tRNA-Val". The record is from RNAcentral.